RNAcentral lists this ribosomal RNA (801 nucleotides) under uncultured bacterium. RNAcentral's name for it is "bacterial SSU rRNA". It matches the Rfam family "Bacterial small subunit ribosomal RNA", at positions 87 to 884 of the family's 1533-position model. The record is from RNAcentral.
GCCGGCGAGCGGCGGACGGGUGAGUAAUGCCUAGGAAUCUGCCUGGUAGUGGGGGAUAACUCGGGGAAACUCGAGCUAAUACCGCAUACGUCCUACGGGAGAAAGCGGGGGAUCUUCGGACCUCGCGCUACCAGAUGAGCCUAGGUCGGAUUAGCUAGUUGGUGAGGUAAAGGCUCACCAAGGCGACGAUCCGUAGCUGGUCUGAGAGGAUGAUCAGCCACACUGGAACUGAGACACGGUCCAGACUCCUACGGGAGGCAGCAGUGGGGAAUAUUGGACAAUGGGCGAAAGCCUGAUCCAGCCAUGCCGCGUGUGUGAAGAAGGUCUUCGGAUUGUAAAGCACUUUAAGUUGGGAGGAAGGGCAGUAAGCUAAUACCUUGCUGUUUUGACGUUACCGACAGAAUAAGCACCGGCUAACUUCGUGCCAGCAGCCGCGGUAAUACGAAGGGUGCAAGCGUUAAUCGGAAUUACUGGGCGUAAAGCGCGCGUAGGUGGUUUGAUAAGUUGGAUGUGAAAGCCCCGGGCUCAACCUGGGAAUUGCAUCCAAAACUGUCUGACUAGAGUAUGGCAGAGGGUGGUGGAAUUUCCUGUGUAGCGGUGAAAUGCGUAGAUAUAGGAAGGAACACCAGUGGCGAAGGCGACCACCUGGGCUAAUACUGACACUGAGGUGCGAAAGCAUGGGGAGCAAACAGGAUUAGAUACCCUGGUAGUCCACGCCGUAAACGAUGUCGACUAGCCGUUGGGAUCCUUGAGAUCUUAGUGGCGCAGCUAACGCAUUAAGUCGACCGCCUGGGGAGUACG